GAUUGCAGGCUGCAACCCGCCCUGCAUGAAGUCGGAAUUGCUAGUAAUCGCGGAUCAGCAUGCCGCGGUGAAUACGUUCCCGGGCCUUGUACGCACCGCCCGUCACACCAUGGGAGCCGGUAAUACCCGAAGUCAGUAGUCCAACCUCGUGAGGACGCUGCCGAAGGUAGGAUUGGCGACUGGGGUGAAGUCGUAACAAGGUAGC
RNAcentral lists this ribosomal RNA (205 nucleotides) under uncultured bacterium. RNAcentral describes it as "partial 16S ribosomal RNA". It matches the Rfam family "Bacterial small subunit ribosomal RNA", at positions 1296 to 1500 of the family's 1533-position model. The record is from RNAcentral.